This 66-nucleotide transfer RNA is filed under the name Mesopodagrion tibetanum. RNAcentral describes it as "tRNA-Glu". The record is from RNAcentral. Lineage: Eukaryota; Metazoa; Arthropoda; Insecta; Odonata; Megapodagrionidae.
UAUUUAAGGAUUUAACAAUCAUGAUUACAGCUUCAAUGUAAAGCUUUAUAAUUAAGCUACUUAAAU